UACGGAGGAUCCGAGCGUCAUCCGGAUUUAUUGGGUUUAAAGGGUGCGUAGGCGGUUUGAUAAGUUAGAGGUGAAAUGUCGGGGCUCAACCCCGAAACUGCCUCUAAUACUGUUGGACUAGAGAAUAGUUGCGGUAGGCGGAAUGUAUGGUGUAGCGGUGAAAUGCUUAGAGAUCAUACAGAACACCGAUUGCGAAGGCAGCUUACCAAACUAUAUCUGACGUUGAGGCACGAAAGCGUGGGUAGCAAACAGG
This 253-nucleotide ribosomal RNA is filed under the name uncultured bacterium. RNAcentral's name for it is "partial 16S ribosomal RNA". It matches the Rfam family "Bacterial small subunit ribosomal RNA", at positions 524 to 776 of the family's 1533-position model. The record is from RNAcentral.